This 403-nucleotide ribosomal RNA is filed under the name Verrucomicrobiota bacterium. RNAcentral's name for it is "Verrucomicrobia bacterium partial 16S ribosomal RNA". It matches the Rfam family "Bacterial small subunit ribosomal RNA", at positions 355 to 776 of the family's 1533-position model. Lineage: Bacteria; Pseudomonadati; Verrucomicrobiota. The record is from RNAcentral.
UGGGGAAUAUUGCACAAUGGAGGGAACUCUGAUGCAGCGACGCCGCGUGAACGAAGAAGGCUUUCGAGUCGUAAAGUUCUUUUAUAUGGGAAGAUAAUGACGGUACCAUAAGAAAAAGCCCCGGCUAACUACGUGCCAGCAGCCGCGGUAAUACGUAGGGGGCUAGCGUUGUCCGGAAUCACUGGGCGUAAAGGGUUCGCAGGCGGAAAUGCAAGUCAGGUGUAAAAGGCAGUAGCUUAACUACUGUAAGCAUUUGAAACUGCAUAUCUUGAGAAGAGUAGAGGUAAGUGGAAUUCCUAGUGUAGCGGUGAAAUGCGUAGAUAUUAGGAGGAAUACCGGUGGCGAAGGCGACUUUCUGGACUUUUACUGACGCUCAGGUACGAAAGCGUGGGGAGCAAACAGG